Molecule: long non-coding RNA, 1142 nt
Organism: Pararge aegeria (speckled wood butterfly)
Lineage: Eukaryota; Metazoa; Arthropoda; Insecta; Lepidoptera; Nymphalidae
Exons: 3
Source: RefSeq, a predicted model, not a curated record
CAUACACAUUAUAUAUUACACCGUCUAUGGUUUAAUGCUCUGAAAUUAUAAUCUAGUCGAUUUUAUAUUAUAUCUAAAUGAAGAAAUAGUAUACAAAUUUAGUGUGUUGGUUUGGAAUAAAACAUCUUUCUUGAGUGUGAACAAAGGAGUAAAAUAAUUUGUGCCGAAAAUAUUAAAUCAACGAACUAAAAAGUAUAAGUUAUUCUAGGACGGCACUACCAAUUAUUUUGAAAAGAUGUUCGAUUAAAGCUUAAUUAUUUAAAUUCAGAAUUGAUAAACUGGAUCUGCAGGCACUUCCAUGGGUACACCGGCCCGAAUGCGCGAAUCAAAAAGGACCCGUACCACUCAAGCACAUAUGGAGGGUACCCGACCAGGCACUCUAAAAAUUCCUACUUACGUCUUUUGGAGUUUUAAAAAAGCAUUGAGGUCUUAAUACGUAUUGCUUAAGCAUGCAAUUAAAAUUUAAGUUACAUUAUUUUCGGUGUAUGGAACACAAUCAGGACUAAAAUAAAAUUAACAUUUACGCUACCAAAAAAAACCAAUCAAUUUAGUAAGCUUUUAAAAAUUUAAUCGAGUUUCAUAAAGUUACUGACAUAUUCGAAGCUUCCAUUAUUCCUGUCCAUCAAAACAGCGGCAACAAAAAUGCGAUGACAGGAGGCCGCGACACAUUAACAUUUUAAUUGUAAACGCCAGAUCGUUAGAGCACUUUCAGGCGACUAACGACGACAAACACUCGGCCUGGAAAAUCACCGCGGACAGCCGUGUGACGUCCAAUAGCGCGUGUGACGAGCGCUUAAUAGGUUAUUAUAAUUCCGCCACUAACGAAUUCGUAAUAUUGGAACAUGUCCCUAAAAUCGCGUAGUACGAAAUCAAAUUUCAAAGUAAUUAUGAACGCACCAGCAAAAUGGACAUCUGAUCAGAACAACCUACUUGCUUAUACAUUACUGACUUUCGUAGUGAUUGUAGGAUUAUACUUAUUUACCCAGAACUGGAAGGGUUUUACUGCUCCGGAAGAAGUUGAUCUUGGUUCCGUAAGAGUUAUCCGUCGAGGUAGAAAUCGUCGAAAACCUGAUCGCACAAGACCAGAUUGAACAAAUUCAUAUCGAAUUGCCUUAAUCAAUAGACUUAAUAAACAUUAGAAA